GACGAACGCUGGCGGCGUGCUUAACACAUGCAAGUCGAACGGAAAGGCCCUGCUUUUGUGGGGUGCUCGAGUGGCGAACGGGUGAGUAACACGUGAGUAACCUGCCCUUGACUUUGGGAUAACUUCAGGAAACUGGGGCUAAUACCGGAUAGGAGCUCCUGCUGCAUGGUGGGGGUUGGAAAGUUUCGGCGGUUGGGGCUGGACUCGCGGCUUAUCAGCUUGUUGGUGGGGUAGUGGCUUACCAAGGCUUUGACGGGUAGCCGGCCUGAGAGGGUGACCGGCCACCUUGGGCCUGCGGUACGGCGCAGAAUCCUACGGGAGGCAGCAGUGGGGAAUAUUGCACAAUGGGCGGAAGCCUGAUGCAGCAACGCCGCGUGCGGAAUGACGGCCUUCGGGUUGUAAACCGAUUUCGCCUGUGACGAAGCGUGAGUGACGGUAAUGGGUAAAGAAGCACCGGCUAACUACGUG
RNAcentral lists this ribosomal RNA (468 nucleotides) under uncultured bacterium. Its description in RNAcentral is "partial 16S ribosomal RNA". It matches the Rfam family "Bacterial small subunit ribosomal RNA", at positions 28 to 507 of the family's 1533-position model. The record is from RNAcentral.